CGUGUAGGUGGUUAGAUAAGUCAGAUGUGAAAGCUUCCGGCUUAACCGGAAAACUGCAUUUGAAACUGUUUAGCUUGAGUGCGAGAGAGGGUAGCGGAGUUCCCAGUGUAGCGGUGAAAUGCGUAGAUAUUGGGAAGAACACCAGUAGCGAAGGCGGCUACCUGGCUCGCAACUGACGCUAAUGCGCGAAAGCGUGGGGAGCAAACA
This 207-nucleotide ribosomal RNA is filed under the name uncultured bacterium. Its description in RNAcentral is "partial 16S ribosomal RNA". It matches the Rfam family "Bacterial small subunit ribosomal RNA", at positions 568 to 774 of the family's 1533-position model. The record is from RNAcentral.